Xiphophorus couchianus (Monterrey platyfish) is the source of this 516-nucleotide long non-coding RNA. RefSeq lists it as uncharacterized. The transcript has 3 exons. The record is from RefSeq and is a predicted model, not a curated record. NCBI's taxonomy places the organism in Eukaryota, Metazoa, Chordata, Actinopteri, Cyprinodontiformes, Poeciliidae.
UGUCCUCGCCCUGAGAUUUCCAGUUUUCAGCAGCUAGACAGCCAGACAACGACGCUCCAAUAACCAAACUUGUUUCUUUUCUACUUGUUUAUUGAAGAGUGGCCUCUGACCACUGCCAUCACUUUGGCCAUCGUAAACUGAAACAUACAAAACUGAGUAUUAGCCAACGAACAUAGCAAAUUAGCUAUUCUAGCUGCUAGCUAAAAAUAAAAGCUUUUCCUAACUGACUCCAGCGUACAAUUAUUUACACCAGUUACAUAAAACAAAGAGACAAUUAUUGCUUUUACAAUUAACCAAUACUUACGAACAAAUCUUGUCUGAAACACAACGUAUUAGGAUGAUAAUCAGCUUAACGUGAACUGUUCGGUGACGCGUUCCACCAUCUUGGAUCUAUAUUCCUUUUUUAGCGUCAUCAAAACAUAACAAAAUAUCCACCAGGGGGCGUUCUAGUGCGGUUUUCAACCUUGCUGGCCCAGCUUAACUUACAAAAGGCAGCACAGUCACUAAGAAGGUCAU